AACGAACGCUGGCGGCAGGCCUAACACAUGCAAGUCGAGCGCGCCCUUCGGGGUGAGCGGCGGACGGGUGAGUAACGCGUGGGAACGUGCCCUUUUCUACGGAAUAGCCUCGGGAAACUGAGAGUAAUACCGUAUACGCCCUUUGGGGGAAAGAUUUAUCGGAAAAGGAUCGGCCCGCGUUGGAUUAGGUAGUUGGUGGGGUAAUGGCCUACCAAGCCGACGAUCCAUAGCUGGUUUGAGAGGAAGAUCAGCCACACUGGGACUGAGACACGGCCCAGACUCCUACGGGAGGCAGCAGUGGGGAAUCUUAGACAAUGGGGGCAACCCUGAUCUAGCCAUGCCGCGUGAGUGAUGAAGGCCUUAGGGUUGUAAAGCUCUUUCAGCUGGGAAGAUAAUGACGGUACCAGCAGAAGAAGCCCCGGCUAACUCCGUG
RNAcentral lists this ribosomal RNA (433 nucleotides) under uncultured bacterium. RNAcentral describes it as "partial 16S ribosomal RNA". It matches the Rfam family "Bacterial small subunit ribosomal RNA", at positions 29 to 507 of the family's 1533-position model. The record is from RNAcentral.